UACGGAGGGUGCAAGCAUUAAUCGGAAUUAUUGGGCGUAAAGGGCGUGUAGGCGGGUAAGGAAGUCAGACGUGAAAUCCCGGGGCUUAACCUCGGAACAGCAUUUGAAACUCCUUAUCUAGAGGGUAGACGGAGAAAGCGGAAUUCCACAAGUAGCGGUGAAAUGCGUAGAUAUGUGGAAGAACACCAGUGGCGAAGGCGGCUUUCUAGUUUAAACCUGACGCUAAGGCGCGAAAGCAAGGGGAGCAAACAGG
This 253-nucleotide ribosomal RNA is filed under the name uncultured Neochlamydia sp. RNAcentral describes it as "partial 16S ribosomal RNA". It matches the Rfam family "Bacterial small subunit ribosomal RNA", at positions 524 to 776 of the family's 1533-position model. Lineage: Bacteria; Pseudomonadati; Chlamydiota; Chlamydiia; Parachlamydiales; Parachlamydiaceae. The record is from RNAcentral.